GAAAUGCGAUAAGUAGUGUGAAUUGCAGAAUUCAGUGAAUCAUCGAAUCUUUGAACGCACAUUGCGCCCUUUGGUAUUCCUUAGGGCAUGCCUGUUCGAGCGUCAUUUGUAACCUCAAGCUCAGCUUGGUGUUGGGUGUCUGUCCCCGCCCCGCGCGGGGACUCGCCUCAAAAACAUUGGCGGCCGGUACGUUGGCUUCGAGCGCAGCAGAAACGCGAACUCGAGGCCCGACGGUUCGGCGACCAGAAGUCACUUCUUCCACAGCUUGACCUCGGAUCAGGUAGGGAUACCCGCUGAACUUAAGC
This 305-nucleotide unclassified non-coding RNA is filed under the name plant metagenome. Its description in RNAcentral is "partial contains 5.8S ribosomal RNA, internal transcribed spacer 2, and large subunit ribosomal RNA". The stretch from base 1 to 105 matches the Rfam family "5.8S ribosomal RNA", at positions 50 to 154 of the family's 154-position model. The record is from RNAcentral.